AGAUUGAACGCUGGCGGCAUGCCUAACACAUGCAAGUCGAACGGGAGUAGCAAUACUCUAGUGGCGGACGGGUGAGGAAUACGUAGGAAUUUGCCCUUAAGUGGGGGAUAACCCGGGGAAACCCGGAUUAAUACCGCAUGACCUCGAAAGAGCAAAGUGGGGGAUCGCAAGACCUCACGCUUUUGGAGAAGCCUACGUCGGAUUAGCUAGUUGGUGAGGUAAUGGCUCACCAAGGCGACGAUCCGUAACUGGUCUGAGAGGAUGAUCAGUCACGACCGGAACUGAGACACGGUCCGGACUCCGUACGGGAGGCAGCAGUGGGAAUAUUGGACAAUGGGCGCAAGCCUGAUCCAGCAAUGCCGCGUGUGUAGAA
Molecule: ribosomal RNA, 373 nt
Filed under: uncultured soil bacterium
Lineage: Bacteria
Description: bacterial SSU rRNA
Rfam family: Bacterial small subunit ribosomal RNA
Source: RNAcentral